GACUACUGACUUGGACCAGCAGGGGAAUGGCUGUGACAAUAAAUAAGAUUGGGAAAACAAGAAGUCCUUUCCAGGACACUGAAGGCUGCAGAGGUGUGACUGGAUGCUGGUGGAGGGAUGCAUGGCGGGGAAGCUGAGUCAGAUCCUGAAAUCCUCCAAGCAUGCGCCUGAAAUGACCAAGGGAAAUGAAGGCGGAGGCUGCUGUCGCCUGGUGGCCUGGGAAGGGCCAAGAGCCAGGGAGCUGGAGGGAGGAGAGAACGUGCGACCUCAGCACGGAGCACUGUAGGGGAGGCGGGGCUGGAGGGAGAUGGCGCCGCGCUCCCGGAUGAACAGAGAAAGCGACAGGACGCCCUUGCAUACAUUAAGAUAUGUAUAUAUGGAAAUGUUACCGGGAGUCCCGGUUAUCCCAAAAAGGGUUGUUUCCUGUUGCGUGGUGAGGCCAAUGCACGAAACCGAAAGGGAGUGUGUCAAGCAGUGCAGGCUGUAUUCAAUGGCUAUGGAAUUGGAAGAUCUGAAAUCAACUUAGCUUGUGAGAGCUGGGAAGUUUCAGAGUCGUUGUCAUGGCGACAUGUUGUUUAGCAUGAGAACAGGAUGAUGAUAAAGCCAGAGGCUCUUCAGAGGCGCCAUCUUGGAUUUCGCCAGCUUCAGCUGGUUUCGUCCUAAGAAGGAACUUCGAAACACAGGCAUUCUUUUUCCUGAAAAUAAGCAGAGUUACAGCUGAGUAGGAAUUUAGCUCUGUCCCAUAUGCUAUCGCAUUGGGCAGCAAAAGCAGGGUGGGGUCCAGCGAAAUCAGCAGGCACUGCAAUGAGUAACAUACCCAGCCACGUUUAUGCAGCAUUUUUACGAAAAUGAAACCAUACUACCUGUAAAGGAAGAUAUGCUAACAAACAACAAAACUGGCAGGAACCAAGAUUCCUACUGACACUACCCUUAGUUUUAAUUUUCCCUGACAACAAAUGAGGUUAACAGAGCAUAAUUAUCUACCGUGACCCCUUCAAAAAGACAGGCUGUAUACAUUUGCACUAAGAGAAGAAAUCGUGUAAUGUCAGCAAAUUUCCCCCACUUAAAGCUUCUCUAUUUAAAAAGCUUCACGCACACAUGCACGCAUAUGUCUUCAAGAUGACCACAAUUUAUUUUGCAGUCAUUCUUUGCACCAGUUCCCAAUUUUUCCCACUAGCUUGCAAGCUCCGUGACUCGAGGAGACCGGGGGAUCAGAGUUUGUUUUUGCGGAGAAGUGAGUCCUUUAUGCCCCAAAUAGUGACUGACAUAGAGAAGGUACUCAGUAAACACUUUUUAAAGGAAUGCCUGCCUGACUGAAGCUUAAUGAUGUGAGGCUUCUAGUGGGAUACCCUACCUUGUUUUAACCUGAAGUGACUCUUCCUUAGCUAAGAGAGCCAGACGGACUCCAUCGUGACUCCUUCACUCGCAGCCCCUUACCCACCCCCUUCCUCAAGGACUUAACUUGUGCAAGCUGACUCCCAGCACAUCAAGAAUGCAAUUAACUGAUAAGAUACUGUGGCAAGCUAUAUCCGCAGUUCCCAGGAAUUCGCCCGGUUAAUAGCACCCAGAGCCCCUGCGUUUGUGUCCGGUUGAUAACGCCCAAAGCCCGGCGUCCAUCACCUUAGGAUAGACUUAAAGCCUCUGCACCUGGAACUGUUUACUUUCCUGUAACCGUUUAUCCUUUUAACUUUUUGCCUACUUUACUUCUGUAAGAUUGUUUCAACUAGACUCCCCCUCUCCCCUGUCUAAACCAAAGUAUAAAAGAAAAUCUAGCUCCUUCUUCGGGGCCAAGAGAAUUUCGAGCGCUAGCUGUCUCUCGGCUGCCGGCUAAUAAAGGACUCCUGAAUUCGUCUC
Molecule: long non-coding RNA, 1854 nt
Filed under: Homo sapiens (human)
Lineage: Eukaryota; Metazoa; Chordata; Mammalia; Primates; Hominidae
Description: HSALNT0331794
Source: RNAcentral